UAACUCAGUUGGUUAGAGUAUUGUCCUGAUACGACAAAGUUACAGGUUUGAUCCCGU
RNAcentral lists this transfer RNA (57 nucleotides) under Myotis davidii. It matches the Rfam family "tRNA", at positions 8 to 63 of the family's 71-position model. From Rfam's summary of the family: Transfer RNA (tRNA) molecules are approximately 80 nucleotides in length. Their secondary structure includes four short double-helical elements and three loops (D, anti-codon, and T loops). Lineage: Eukaryota; Metazoa; Chordata; Mammalia; Chiroptera; Vespertilionidae. The record is from Rfam by way of RNAcentral.